Molecule: long non-coding RNA, 541 nt
Organism: Bombyx mori (domestic silkworm)
Lineage: Eukaryota; Metazoa; Arthropoda; Insecta; Lepidoptera; Bombycidae
Exons: 2
Source: RefSeq, a predicted model, not a curated record
GUGUGAAUUUUGGCUUCUGACAGUGACUUUCAUGAAAUCAAAAUUUUACAGAUAUCUAUCAAUAAGCUGAGAGUUGAGAGUGUGAUUUAAUUAUGUCUAAACUAGAAGUCUCACAGUAGUCGAAAUUCACUAUAAUUAAUUGGAAUUGUAAGUUUGUACACAUACUAUAAUCACAAAUUUCGCCAAGGCUAUACUAUAACUAAAUAUUAAUAAAGACAAACAAUAUUUAAUCUAUUCUAUUGAGAACAGACGUCAAGAAUAAAAGUUUGACAAUAAAUAGUACGCAUGCGUGUGUGCGUCAAAUACAUGAACGAAGUUUCUUAUGGGACAAUGCGGAGGCGUACCCUUACCGGGGAAAAACGUCCGUAACGUAAGAUUUUUAUUAGUAAUGCGCACAGUGUACAAAAAAUAACAUAUUUUUAUUAUAUAAUAAUAUUUUUUAUAAAUCAUUGUGAGUAAACUAAAGUUGAUAACUUUGUAAAGUAGUUUUUAUUUUAUUUUUAUCAAUAAAAAAAUUCAUAAUAAAAAAUGUAUACCCGAA